UCCAAGAACAUUGUGAUUGUUGUUUUUAUUUCAUUUUAUUUUAUUUUGGCUAAUAGGUACACAGUAUCAUGAAGAUUUUAAUAACAGUUUUUAUACUGAUGAACAGCUUCUUUGCUGUGGAGCUCCAGAACCUUCUGACCCAGCCCGCUUCAGAAAUUAAACUCCCCGGAGAGACUUUAACUUUAACCUGCAAAGGAAUUUCCUCUUUGAUUCAGUCCUGGAUCCAGUGGACGUACAAGAUCGGCGACGAAGGAAUUAAAUGGAUAGGAGAAAGCAAUCCAGAUGGCAGUAGAUCAAGCAUCCGUCCAUCUCUGAGAGACCGAUUUGCCGUCUCUAGGGAUAAUUCCCGGGAUAUCGCUUCCUUAGAGAUAAGGCAGCUGAAAGUUGAAGAUAGCGGUCUCUAUUACUGUAGCAACCACAGUGAAAUUGAACAGCACACAAACUGUUGUGCUCCCAAAUGGCCAUUAAACUGUCACUCUGAUCUACUCUAUCUUGCCUCGCAUAGAUUGUUCUAA
This is a non-coding RNA of Pantherophis guttatus, 515 nucleotides long. The record is from the annotation of a RefSeq genome assembly. NCBI's taxonomy places the organism in Eukaryota, Metazoa, Chordata, Lepidosauria, Squamata, Colubridae.